Long non-coding RNA from Corvus hawaiiensis (hawaiian crow), 2889 nucleotides. RefSeq lists it as uncharacterized. The record is from RefSeq and is a predicted model, not a curated record. NCBI's taxonomy places the organism in Eukaryota, Metazoa, Chordata, Aves, Passeriformes, Corvidae. The transcript is spliced from 2 exons.
UCAGGUCAUAGAGAAAGCUGUAGGAAGAACAUCACUUCCGAGACUUAGCUUGCUAACCUAUGACAGUGUCUGUAAAUGGUUUCCAGGAUUAGUGGCUCCAUCACCUUCCCAGACUGAGAUAGGGCUAACCUGACUGUAGUUCCCUACGUCUUCCUUUUUCUCUUUCUUGAAAAUAAGAGUGACAUUUGAUUUCUUCUAGUCUUCAGGAACCUGUGCUGACUGUUGUGACCUUCCAAAGGUAAGUAAGAGUGUCUUUGCAAAGGCACUUAGCACUUGUGGGAACAUUCCAUCAGGCACCAUGGACUUAGGUGUGUGCAAUUUAAGUGCUCACUAGCUUGAUCCUCCUCCGCCAAAGGCUAAGUCUUUCUUAUUCCAAACUUUCCAUCUGGUCUCAGGGGCCUGGGACACCUGAAGGCCAUUCUUACGGGUGAAUGCUGAGGCAAAGGAAAUACUGAGUACCUCAGGUUUUUCCAUGUCAUACAUCACCAGUUUCCCUGCCCCAUCCAGCAGCUUUCCCUAGUCUUUCUUUUGCCACUGCUGUAUUUGUAGAAUCCUUUCUUGUUCCCCUUUACAUCAUUUGCCAAAUUCAAUUCUAGCUGUGUUACUGCUUUCCUAAGCACAUUCCUGCAUGGUUGAAUAGCAGCUCCACACUCCUCCUGGAUCACCUGCCCCUGAUUCCACCUCUUUUAUACUUCAUUUUUAUGCCUGAUUAAAGUCAGCAGUUUUUUGCUUAUUCAUGAGGUACUCCUGCUGCCUCUACUUGGUUUUCUAGGUGUCAGGCUGGACCUUCCUUCAACUUGGAGAAGAUUCUUGAAUAUCAACUAGCAUUCCUGGACACUUCUCUCCAGUGUUGUAUCCAAUGUGGUGCUUCCAAGCAAGAUCUCUGAAGAACUUUAAAGUCUGCUCUCCUGAAGUCCAGGGUUGAGGUCCUGCCUUUUGCCCUGCUGCCUUCUCUCAGGAGUCUGAAUGCCACUGGCUCAUGGUCACUGCAGCCAAGGUUGCCCUGACCUUUCCAUCCACAAGGUCCUUGUUAGCUGCCCAAUCACACAUGUCAGAAGGUUGCUGCCAACUCACUCCUGAAACCUUCUAGACUGGUUGUGAGAAAUUCUUAGAUUCCACAAUACAAAGACAAAAGGCAGGCUGACUGAAGUUAACAUCUGCGGUCACAUGUACUACAACCUAUUUUUCAAAUAGUUGAGGAGGACAGAAAGUCCAUAGCAAGAUGUUAUAUACUCAAAUCACAUAGAAACUUUAGCAAAAAAGGUGUUCAGAGCCUGUGGAACUAUAACCCCAUCACUGUGGAGGUAUUUGUGCUCAUUUUUAAGGUCCAGAUGCAUUAGAGGAGUAUCUCAAAGGAUGCUGAACAUGUGCACUCUAAUUCAAGAAAAUUUAAGACAUAAAAGUAUCUCAGUGUUCUGACCUAGCUGUCAGGAAAAUGCCAGCUUUCCUGGAACCAGUCUGUGAUUGUAGAAUCUGAUUUCUAAAACUCAGUACAUUUAACCCAAAGGUUCUGAGAAUCUCUGCUUGUCAGGAUUUCAAUUUAUGUCUUGGACAUAUCAAAUGAGGACAAUAAAAUUAGGUUUUCUGGGCUGUUGUAGGAAUUUUUAGUGACUGAAAUGCAAAGGAAGGCAAAAGAAAAAUAUGAAGGAGGAUGUGCAAGAUCACCUGGUUUUCCCUCCUUCUUCCAUAUUCAUGUCUUUUUUUCAAGAGAACAUACUGAGGGGAUGAAGAAAUGUUGCUCUGCUUGCUAGGAUUCUAACAGAGAAGAGAAAUUUAUAACUCACACACAGAGACAGACUGUGUUCACUGUCAGGCGUCCCUCCGGACACAUACAGUAUCCUCUUCGGUGGCUCUCCAGGAAGCUGCCUGUACCAGUGCACGAUGGCUGUGGCCUCCAGUUGACAUGACAUGCUGGCAGACAUGCCCUUCAUCUGCUUCUGCAGCUCUGGAGUUUGCACUGGCAUUGACUGCAUGUCUACACCUGGAAGUGAAAGCAGAGAAAUUGCAUGAGGGGAGAAACUCCUGGAGUUUGGAAUCAGGCCUGUGUUCACUGUAGAUGGGAAGGAGAGAGGAGAGGAAAAAGGGCUUACAGGACCAAAAUAAAAUUGCAAGAAGGACUGGAAACAGCAACAUACUGCCUGUGCAGAUUAGACCUGAAAAUGAAAUAAACAGAGACAGAAAUGCUAUAAAACUCUUCAGGUGGACAAGCCAUCAAAUGACUGGGAGGAGGAAAUUACUCAUUCAGCACAUCCAAUGGUUAUUCUUCAACUCACUACCACAGAGGGUGUUAAAUUUACUGAUAAGCUAGACCACAGCAGAAACAGCGUAGAAAGGACAAAAAAUACUCAAUCUGAAAAAAAAUCUUCUUCAUCUGUCUACCUACUACACUUAUAUCAGACUUACCUACUGAGCACACAUAUAAAAAGCUCAAGUUUUUCAGCCUGGCCCUUACCAAGGAUGUUCUCCUUAGAUACAUCAAAGCUGUCCCAGAAGCAUGUUCCGCCAGCCCUUCCUUAGAACUUCAGAGAAUCAUAGAAUAAUAGAAUGCUUUGGGUUAGGAGGUGUGGGAUAUGCCCAGCCCCUGCCCUGGAGGGAUGUCUGCUGAGAUAAAAGAUUUUGCAAUCACCCAGCAGGACUCCCUGGAAAGGAAACGACUUUUGGGUCAUGGCGAGGAAAAGUAGACCCACAAUCCUUUGGGGGGCCCUAUGCAGAUCAUUCUGUAACCCGUUGGUCUAUCCCAGACCCUCUGUAAUCCAUUGGUCCCCUUGCUGAUCCCCUGUAUCCCUAUAAAAGAAGACCAAUUCGCCUCUGUGGGGAAGAGAGCUCGUCCCUGGCUCCUCCCUUCGCCGGAGGGGACCCACAAUAAAGCUACCUUCGUGCGGAACCAGC